RNAcentral lists this ribosomal RNA (216 nucleotides) under uncultured bacterium. RNAcentral describes it as "partial 16S ribosomal RNA". It matches the Rfam family "Bacterial small subunit ribosomal RNA", at positions 524 to 735 of the family's 1533-position model. The record is from RNAcentral.
UACGAAGGGGGCUAGCGUUGCUCGGAAUCACUGGGCGUAAAGGGUGCGUAGGCGGGUCUUUAAGUCAGGGGUGAAAUCCUGGAGCUCAACUCCAGAACUGCCUUUGAUACUGAGGAUCUUGAGUUCGGGAGAGGUGAGUGGAACUGCGAGUGUAGAGGUGAAAUUCGUAGAUAUUCGCAAGAACACCAGUGGCGGAAGGCGGAGCUCGCCUGGCCC